Esox lucius (northern pike) is the source of this 4695-nucleotide long non-coding RNA. The record is from Ensembl. Lineage: Eukaryota; Metazoa; Chordata; Actinopteri; Esociformes; Esocidae.
AGCGGGAGGAAAAUCGGAGAGAAUGAGUGGUGGCUAAUAAGCAGGGAAAAGAGUAGAAAAGUUGAUUUUGAAGUUGAAAAACGUAACUUACCUGGUUGGGAACUGACGGGGAUUUUAUGAGAACUAUGCCACACCGGUUUUAGUCAGUUUUUUGGUGUUGAAGGUCGGUCGGAGCGAGGAUUGGUCUGCAGUGUGCAGGCGUGCACGUGCAUAGACGGGAUUCAAGAUGGCGAGCCAGACCCAGACCUUCAAUUCAUCUUCUCCAUCGCACCAGUGAGGAAAUCCCCUGUGUAUGGUGACUCGCUUCCAGAGUGAACCUACAACUGGUCCAGUGGCCCAGUAAGUGGUGCGAUACCGGUGCUACAACAGCCCUCUUCAGAUCACCCCACAGAUGUUCAAUUGGAUUCAGGUCUGGGAUCUGGCUGGGACAUUCCAAAAUGUUAAUCUUCUUCUGGUGAAGCCAUGCUUUUGUGGAUUUGGAUGUGUGCUUUGGGUCGUUGUCAUGCUGAAGGUCAUCUUCAGCUUUCUAAUGGACGCCUGAAGGUUUUGUGCCAACAUUUCCUAGUAUUUGGAACUGUUCAUAAUUCCCUCCACCCUGACUAAGGCCCUGGUUCCAGCUGAAGAAAAACAGCCCCAAAGCAUGAUGUUGCCACCACCAUGCUUCACUGUUGGCAUGGUGUUCUUUGGGUGAUUUCUCUUACAAAUACCUCUUUGUCAUAGUCAAAAAACUGCUGUAAUAAUAUAGUUUUAUGUAAGCAAGUUAUGAAAGCUUGUCCUGGGAGUUCAUUCACGUGGAACUAAUAUCUUGUUAUUUAUAUAUUACCCAACCGUUAUUUUGUAUAAGCCACCUUGUCUCUUGGCCUGCUCAAAAACACCUGCACCUGGCACUAACGUAAACAUAACGUAAACUUUUAAUAUAUGCUAUGUGUCCUGACUAUAUGUGGACACCGGACCAUCACACCUAUUUGAGCUUCUCGGACAUCCUGUUCCAAAACCACAGGCAUUAAUAUCAAGUUGCCCCACAAUAUUUUGGAGUUUCUCUGUGGGAAUUUGUGCCCAUUCUGCCAAAAGGGCAUUCUUGAAAUCAGGCACUGAUUUUGGACAAGAAGGCUUUGCUCUAUUUUAUCCAAAAAUAAUUAAAUGUGGCUGGGGUCAGGGCUCCAUGCUGGCCACUCGAGUUCCUCCACACAAAUCUUGUCGAACCAUGACUAUGGAUCCCACUUUAUGCACAGGGGCACAGUCAUGGUGGAACAGGAAAGGGCCUUCCCCAAAUUGUGCCACAAUUGGAAGCACUCAAUUGUCUAAACUGUCUUUGUAUCCUGUAGCAUUAAGAUGACCCUUCACUGGAACUAAGGGACCUAGCUCAAACCCUGAAAAACAGCCCCAGACCAUUAUCCCUCUUCCACCAAACUUUACACUAUGCAUUCUGGUAGGUAGCAUUCUCCUUGCAUCCGCCGCACCCAGACUCGUCCAUCAGACUUCUGGAUAGUGAAGUGUGAUUCAUCACUCCAGAGAACGUUUCCACAUCUCCAUAGACCAGUGGCGGAGUGCUCCACUCCAGAGGAUGCAUGGCAUUGCAUAUGUUGAUGUGAGGCUUCUUACAGCUUCUUUGCCAUGGAAACCCAUUAAGUGAAGCUCCUGAUGCACAGUUCUUGUGCUGAUGUUGCUUUCAGAGGCAGUUUGGAACAACAGAUGAAUGGCAGUUUUUACACGCUAUGCAUUUCAGCACUUUGCAGCCCCGCUCUGUGAGUUUGUGUGGUCUACCACUUUGUGGCUGGGCUCUUGUUGCUCCCAGAUACUUCCACUUCACAAUUAUAGCACUUACAAAUAACCUGGGCAGAAACUUCACGAACUGACUUGUGGCAAAGGUGGCAUCCUAUGACAGUGCCACUUUAGAAGUCACUGAGCUCUUUAGUAUGACCCAUUGUACUGCCAACACAUGAACUCAAUAGGGGUCUCCACAUACUUUUGGCCAUAGUGUAUAGUGAUUUCUUCUUGAACAAAAGUCAUAAGAUAUUGAAGGUGUUUUCACUCAUUUGAUGCCGAUGGAUUUAUGGAAGUGGUGCCACUUUUCCAUUUGACUUAUUUAUUGCCUUCUGUUGACCACUCAAAAUAAUAAACAAGUAAACAUGAAAUACUAUAGUUCCGCUAUUACUGCAUAAAUAGUAUGGUGGACAUUUGCUUUUAUUACAAUGCAAAAUUCUGCAUACAGUUAUUCCCGUAUAAAUACAUUCAAUUACUGUUUGGUAGAUGCAAUUUAAACAUGGUGAUAGGAAAUAGUGGCAAGCCUUCCUAUAAAUAAUCAAUUUUCAAUGUUGUGGGGAUCAAAAUAGACCUCGGUCUGGUCUAACCACAUGAACAUUCAGUCAGUUAUUUCUUUCUUCAGUUUUCAUACGUCGUAACUUCAUAAACCCCCAUAAACUCUGCAGGAUCAGCAUGACCAGCGGGGUGGAAAACAACAUUACAUUAUUAUCCAAGGAUUAAUGCAGUACACACUCACAGUUAGACCCAAAACUUCUGAUGUUCUCCCAAGGAAUCAAAUUCAAUUUGACUGUUUGAGAUAUCAUCAACUUUCUGAAUGCAUGCCUCUCUGUCGUUUUCUCUCUAUCUCUUCCCUUCUUGUCUAACCCUGCCAUUACUCUAAUUGCACUCGUAGACAUUUGAAGCUAGCCAGGGAGUAAAUAUAGCUCACGGCCCAUUUUUGGUGGGUUUCUGUGAUCUGUCAAUUUGUGGCUUUUUAUUGGUUAAUAAACAUCUGGCUGGGUUGGACAGUGAAUGACAGAAAUAGGAUUAUGAAGAGGGGGGUUAUGUGAGGAAUUAAGGUGAUUUCAUAUUAGUUAAUUCAGACUGAUGAUAGCCUCAGCUGUGGCCACCAAUCCUGUGAUUUGCAUUUAGGAGGACACUCAGUCUGUCAUGAAAUUAUAAUCUAAUCUUAUAAAGAAUGAGCAUCUUGAUAAAUUGGUUUUAUAACACAGUUUAUACAAUGUUGUAUCCAUUUGUUUCUAUUUAAAGAGUUAUGACUUUGAUAUGUUUUAUGAUUGUACUACCGUGGAGCUUUCUGCCUCAUUGAACACCAGAGUGUCACCAAAACUACUUUGCCCUCCGCAUAUUACAGCUGAUAAAUCAUAUUUAUACCUGUUAAAGUUGGAGAUUUUGUGUUGUUUCCAUUUAUUUUAUAUGCAUUAAAAUUAACGUUCAGCUGUUUGAUCAUCCAGGUGUCUGUGUUCCCAAGGAAUUUCGGGGGAGACCAGAUAUGCAUUAUUGCUUUAAAGUCUAUCUGUCUGUCUGUCUGUCAGUCUCCUCUCUCUCGCUUCAGAGAAAUUUAAAGGUGUGGCAUUUGGUGGGGCAUUUGGUGCGUUCCGGGGCUAGUAUGUGUGGGAAGAUUACAAAGAGGCGCUUUGUGAGAGGAUGCAGCUGCUGAAAUCCGACUAGAUCCAGCUGAAGAGAGAAUGGAGCAGGAAAUAAACCUAUGUGAAACCUACAGUCGGGAAACUAUACGACGAAGUAAUCGUGAUCACAUACCGACAAUAUGAGCGCGACAACUAACUCUGCGAGCUACGACAACUUCAAUGUGUUUUAUUUGGACGUGGCUCGGGUACCCACCAUUUCCCAAGAGGCUUCGUGGUCAUCAACACACUGAUGAGCUCCUAGCAAGGCAGCUCCUAGCAAGAUGGUGAACAGAACGACUGAAGUUGGGGAGAGAAAAUGCAGCACCAUUCAUCUACGUGUUUACCUCUCUGGAGAAGACAAUGGAUGUUACAGUUUUAAGAGCUGUCAGGAAUACUUAUUCUUUACCACCACAGUGCUCUAAGCCUGCUUCUCGAUUUAGAUUUAUUAUAGAAGAGCUCUGCUUCUGAGUUACAUUUCACCCUUUGAUAGGUGGGGUUAGCGACGGGGGUCUGUGGGGUACUGGGUGUUGUAACGUAUAUGGACAAUUAUUUGAAUGUGUGAAACUCGCGUCUCUAAAACUGCAUAAAGCGCUGUGCACUUUGAGUAACUAAAUUUGCACAAGAGGUUGGCUUCUCAUAAAAGUGAAACAAUAAAUGGGGCAAGGGAAUUACAAUAAUAUGUCAAUAUUACAGAACAUUUUAGGCAACAGUAGAUGGCUAUGCAUUACUUCAGUGAUCAUAUUUUUGGAUUAUUAAAUAAGAUUGUGCUCUGUGUUAUCGGGCCAUCUUUAUGUUGUAUUAGAAAGAUCAAUGUUUCCCAAUUUAUUGUGAAAUAAUCAUUUUAGUGACAUAUGAGCAGCAUCCCGGGAAUUUACCUGGUCUAUAGGACCAUAUAAGAUACAUGUAUGUUUUAAAUGAAUCAGAUUAUGUAUGAACUAACCUUGUUGUCUUGAAAGCGUCGGAUGGAUCAGGGUCUUGAUCUGGGCCAAGAAAAGAGCAACUGUAAGACGUCUAUUUGUACAUUGACACAGAUACUGAGAGUAGUAUGGUUAUCAUGCUAGUAUACGCCAGGGAAUGUCAGUAAAGAUGUCAGCUUGUCAGCAGGCCCUCUACUGCAGUGUUGACAAGAACUCUCCGAUUGCAAUUCAGAGAAUGUUAUGAAGUAGGUUUACAAAGGGUUAUCACAGAAUCAGGAAUGACCUAUGAUGUUUAUAAUGAAUCAUGAAUGACCUAUGAUGUAUAUAAUGAUUUUUAGACCUGUAUACAGUCUCUACAUGUAAGCUACAUGUUAAAAAUGUAUAUUAUG